UACAGAGGGUGCGAGCGUUAAUCGGAAUUACUGGGCGUAAAGCGCGCGUAGGCGGCUUUGCAAGUCGGGUGUGAAAUCCCCAGGCUUAACCUGGGAACUGCAUUCGAGACUGCAUUGCUAGAGUAUGGGAGAGGGAAGUGGAAUUUCCGGUGUAGCGGUGAAAUGCGUAGAUAUCGGAAGGAACAUCAGUGGCGAAAGCGGCUUCCUGGACCAAUACUGACGCUCAUGUGCGAAAGCGUGGGGAGCAAACAGG
Molecule: ribosomal RNA, 253 nt
Filed under: uncultured bacterium
Lineage: Bacteria
Description: partial 16S ribosomal RNA
Rfam family: Bacterial small subunit ribosomal RNA
Source: RNAcentral